Long non-coding RNA from Homo sapiens (human), 3451 nucleotides. RefSeq lists it as uncharacterized. Lineage: Eukaryota; Metazoa; Chordata; Mammalia; Primates; Hominidae. The record is from RefSeq and is a predicted model, not a curated record. The transcript is spliced from 3 exons.
GGCAUGGAAAUCCACAGGAGGUCUGAGCUUGGAUCUCUGGGAUCCAGUCCUCUGGGUGGGCUGCUUACCUCGGGGGUGACCCACUGUCCUGGUUUGCCUGGGACUAAAGGGGUUCCUGAGACAUGGGACUUCCAGUUUUAGAACUGGGACAGUGCCAAGAAACUGGGGAUGUGUUGAUCGCUCUGUUUACCUCUCUGAACCUCAAUUUGCUCAUAUCUAAAACCAGGAUAGUUACUAUCUGUCGGAGGACGAAAUGGGAUAAUGCAGGGAAGCAUCUAGCACAUGGCUCUUCAACCUGUAAAAUGGGAGGGUAGUGCCUACUUCACCAUAGCCGUGGGGAGAAGCCCGUGAAAACACCUCUCAUCUGAGCCUGGGGCUUGUUCUUUCUUUGUUGAAGAGGAAUACAGAGGUGUCAAGGACAGAUGAGAACAAGACUGAGACUUUCUACUUGUUGAAAUCUGCGAGAAAAAAUGGGAAAGGAAUGAAUGAGAGGUUAUCUCUUAAUGUAAGUCAAUGUUUAUUCAAUGCUUUGCCUUGUACAGCCUCAAAUCAUCUUGGGAUCCACGGUGGGAGGCAGCACUGAUGUGAUGUCAUCCAGUGCCUAGAGAUGAGCCUGGCUCUAUUACUGGAGACCGCUGGUGGCUGCAUGGUGCCCUGAGUUAUAACCAAGAUUGCUGAAUAUCUGGGGAGAAAAUUUCUGUCUCUGAUCAGCCUCGGGGGCAUGAGUCAACCUCUGCUAAGUGUUUUGAGCUUGCCUACUGACAAGUUGAUGGCCAAUGCAGAGAAUUAUUAUUCUUAAGAAGAUUGUAAUCACAACUAUGAUGAAUCCAGGUUGAUGAGACAUUAAUGCCUGAAAGCUUUGGAGUAUUUUUGAAAAGCAUCGCUAAAAUAAUAAUUGAAAUCGCAACAAGGGGGAAUCAAGAACAUAAAAGCUGACUGAGAUAACCUCGCAACCCCGCCUGCCUUUUCUAGACACCAGCUUGCUGGGGGGCUUCAUGAGGCUUGUGAAGAAGACAGGACAAAAGAGUCAGGCUGUUGGGAAUUUUAAGGUCCCAAGUGACAUGAUGCCUUCUGAUGUUCCGGGCCUCAGUGGCCUCAUCUGAGAAAUGGGAAUGAUAAUAGCAUAUGUGCAUGGACCAGAUGAGCUCUUCUGGUCCUGUUCCAAUUCUGCCAGCUCUUACUCGAUGAGAUUCUUAACUCCUGGUACCCAGGUGAUUGCAGCAUGCCAGGUGCUCUCGUUCUGGGAGGAGUACCUAACUCAGGGGUAGUAAACGCACUGCCUGGGGGCCAGAUCUGGUCCUUAGAUGUUUUUUAUUUGACUUGUAUAGUUAAAUACUUAUAAACAGCUUUUGAGAUUUAUUACAUAUGGUAAAGUAAUAACACAGACAGAAACAAGUACAAUACUUUAUUAACUGGCUCAGUGAACUGUCACCUAGCAGACACUGGGGUAACCACCAACCAAGCAUGGCUGGCCCCUCAGGAUUCACCCUGGGCCUCCUUCAGUCACUUGACACUGUGCUGUACUUUUUUUAUUUUUUUUGAGACAGAGUCUUGCUCUAUCGCCCAGGCUGGAGUGCUGUGGUGUGAUCAUAGCUCACUGCAGCCUUCACCUCUUGGAUUCAAGAGAUCCUCCCGCCUCAGCCUCCUGAGUAGCUAGAACUAUGGGUGUGCACCACCAUGCCUGGCUGAUUUGUAAAUUUUUUGUGGGGACAGGGUCUUGCCAUGUUGCCCAGGCUGGUCAACUCCUGGACUCAAGCAAUCAUCCCACCUUGGCCUCCUGAAGCACUGGGAUUACGAGUAUGAGCCACUGCACCCAGCCUGUACUUUAAAAUAUUAUUAUUAUUUUUAGUUUGGCCAUGUGCUACCUUGCUGUCUUCUUAAGCUGACACUAAAUUAUGUUGUUGUUUUUUCACACCUAUUCUGCAAUUCUCCGACACCAACUGAGGGUCCAAUAAUUCAAUUCAAUUCCGACAGUAACUACUUGGAAUGCAUGCGGACUGCACAAGUGAAGGGCUCAGUCCCCCAAAACUGCCUGACUUCAGACACUGGUCCCAGGAGAUCACCCAGACUUCUGACCAAUUGGCUACAAAUCGAGAGUUCUCCUGACCCCGCCUCAGGCUCAAUAUUUCACUUGCAUGACUCGCAGAUUUUAGGAAAACACUUCAUUUAUGUUUGCUGGCUUGUUACAAAGGGUACAACUCCGGAACAGCCAGAUGGAAGGUACUGGUGGAGGGGCGCAGAGCUUCUGUGUCCUCUCCCGGCCCCCUACCCUCCCACCCAGCACCUCCAUGUGUUUACCAACUCAGAAACUCUCUGAACCCCAUUGUUAAGGGGUUUUUAUGGAGGUUCCAUUAUUUAGGCAUGAUUGAUUACAAUCUUUGGCCAUGGGUGAUUAAAUUCCAUCUCCAGCCCCUCUCCGCUUCCCAGAGAUGAGUGGUGGUGCUGAAAGUUUCAACCCUCUAAUCAUGGCUUGGUCUUUUUGGUGACUAGCUCUCAUCCUGAAGCUCUUUGGGAGUCCCCUCACUAGCAAGCAAAGUACAGUAAAUUCCGAGAAACUCAGAAACCCUGCUGAGAACUAGAAACCAGACAAAAAGAUUAAAUAUUUAUUUUUUAAUUAUUUCACAGAGUGCCUUUAAGCAAAGGCAUGCACACUCCAAUUUGCCACAGACUCCACCAUGCCCCAUUAUUGCUCACUGCCCUAUUCAUAGAUUUGUGUUGCCUGUUCAGCCUCUGUAGGCAUUUGAAAUUGUGAUGCCUGCUUAAUAGAUAUUAUUUGCCUUAAUAAUAAUUGAAACAGUCAUUGUCAUAAUAAUAGCAAUGAUAAUGUAUUAGUCCAUUCUCACACUGUUAUAAAGAACUACCUGACACCAGGUAAUUUAUAAAGAAAAGAGGUAUAAUUGACUCACAGCUCCACAGGCUGUACAGGAGGCAUGGCUGGGGAGGCCUCAGGAAACUUACAUCAAGGCGGAAGGUUGAAGGGGAAGCAAGCACACCUUCACAUGGCAGCAGGAGAGAGAGAGCAAAGCAGGGAGCGCUGCACAUUUUUAAACAACCAGAUCUCAUGAGAGCUCACAAGAACAGCGAGAACAGCAAGGGGGAAGUCUGCCCCCAUGAUCCAAUCACCUCCCACCAGGUCCUGCAACACGUGGGGAUUACAAUUUGACAUGAGAUUUAGGUGGGGACACAGAGCCAAACCAUGUCAAAUAACAAAGUAGCUAUCAACUGUUGGGUAUUUAUACUAUUCCAGGGGCUGUGCUGAGCAUGUCAGAUAUAGCAUCUUGUUUAAUCUUCACAGAAAUUCUUCUAAGUUGGCCAGGCACGGUGGCUCAUGCCUGUAAUCCCAGCACUUUGGGAGGCCGAGGCAGGUGGAUCACAAGGUCAGGAGAUUGAGACCAUCCUGGCUAACACGGUGAAACCCCGUCUCUACUAAAAAAAAAAAAAAAGAAAUAGA